ACUCCUACGGGAGGCAGCAGUAGGGAAUCUUCCACAAUGGGCGCAAGCCUGAUGGAGCAACACCGCGUGAGUGAAGAAGGGUUUCGGCUCGUAAAGCUCUGUUGUUAAGGAAGAACACGUAUGAGAGUAACUGUUCAUACGUUGACGGUAUUUAACCAGAAAGUCACGGCUAACUACGUGCCAGCAGCCGCGGUAAUACGUAGGUGGCAAGCGUUAUCCGGAUUUAUUGGGCGUAAAGAGAGUGCAGGCGGUUUUCUAAGUCUGAUGUGAAAGCCUUCGGCUUAACCGGAGAAGUGCAUCGGAAACUGGAUAACUUGAGUGCAGAAGAGGGUAGUGGAACUCCAUGUGUAGCGGUGGAAUGCGUAGAUAUAUGGAAGAACACCAGUGGCGAAGGCGGCUACCUGGUCUGCAACUGACGCUGAGACUCGAAAGCAUGGGGUAGCGAACAGGAUUAGAUACCCUGGUAGGAUAGCG
This 474-nucleotide ribosomal RNA is filed under the name uncultured bacterium. Its description in RNAcentral is "bacterial SSU rRNA". It matches the Rfam family "Bacterial small subunit ribosomal RNA", at positions 335 to 801 of the family's 1533-position model. The record is from RNAcentral.